RNAcentral lists this ribosomal RNA (465 nucleotides) under uncultured bacterium. RNAcentral describes it as "partial 16S ribosomal RNA". It matches the Rfam family "Bacterial small subunit ribosomal RNA", at positions 28 to 507 of the family's 1533-position model. The record is from RNAcentral.
GACGAACGCUGGCGGCGUGCUUAACACAUGCAAGUCGAACGGAAAGGCCCUGCUUGCAGGGUACUCGAGUGGCGAACGGGUGAGUAACACGUGGGUGAUCUGCCCUGCACUUCGUGAUAAGCCUGGGAAACUGGGUCUAAUACCGGAUAGGAGCCAUUUUUAGUGUGAUGGUGGGAAAGUUUUUUCGGUGUAGGAUGAGCUCGCGGCCUAUCAGCUUGUUGGUGGGGUAAUGGCCUACCAAGGCGGCGACGGGUAGCCGGCCUGAGAGGGUGGACGGCCACAGUGGGACUGAGAUACGGCCCAGACUCCUACGGGAGGCAGCAGGGGGGAAUAUUGCACAAUGGGCGCAAGCCUGAUGCAGCGACGCCGCGUGGGGGGUGACGGCCUUCGGGUUGUAAACUCCUUUCGCUAGGGACGAAGCUGUUUGUGACGGUACCUAGAUAAGAAGCACCGGCUAACUACGUG